CUACCCCUUCACCUAAACACCUUGCGAGCUCGGCAGGACUGAGCAUGGAUAGCGCCUGGGAUGGGGCUACGAGCUCGGCGGGAUUGAGAUGGGACAGGGCAUGGGCGCGAGGGCUACGCGCUUGGCAGCAGCAGAGUGCACUGCGGGAAAAAAACCUAUCGGACUGUACACCAAAUACGCACUUACCAGCGUGGUGAAGUAUGGUCACAUGACUUCCUGCUCUCCCAACAACCUCCACGUGGGUGUAUGGGUAUCUGUGUAAGGCUAUGGGACAUGUUUUACUCUCUUUAUACGGGCUCCGUUUGCGCGAUUUCGCGGCUAACAUUUAUAACCAAAGCAAAUUCGCUAUAUGCGGUUUGAAUUCACUGGCGCAGCCGCCGGACGUGGUGACAGCGUUGUUGUACUGUACGCGCCCCGAGCGGCCUGCUGGUGCGGUGCAUUGUGGGUUGGGUGACUGUACGCGCCGUGCUGGGCGCCACCGCUGCUGCCCCCCCCCCCCAACGCGCGUUCCCGGUUCCCCUCGCUUUAUGCGGGUUCCGUUGGUGUGAUUUGUGUGUACAUGCGGCGAACAUUUUUUUUGUACCCAAAAUGUGAUGUAUGCGGUUUGAAUUAACUUGAACGCCGCCGGAGUGUGACGAGCCCUGUGUGUGCAUGGCGGUGUGCGGCAGGCAGCGGUCUCCUGCCGUUUCGAUUUGUGCGCCAUUUUCUUGCAACGCAACUACCGCAUAAAGCGAGGGGAAAAUUGUACUCUCAUUGUUAUCGCGCACAUAUCUAUGCCAGUUUCUGUCUUGUUAUGGCUGCUAAACGGCCUACUAGCUCUCUCCCUGGACCAUCAAUGAAGCGGAAAAGGACUGCAUUAACACUUGAAGUUAAGUUGGAGAUUUUACGGCGUGCGGAAGCUGGUGAGGGACCGGCCGCGCUUGGGCGUGCGUUCAACCUGGGCGAGUCGACCAUACGCGCCAUCAAUAAGAAUUCCGCCAAAAUCAGGAGUUCUGUGAUGCAUUCUACACCGCUAUCUGCCAAGAAGACGACAAGAGUAAGAAAUCCAUUGUUGGAGAAAAUGGAGAAGAUGUUGGUGGUGUGGGUGGAAGACCAGUACCAGAAGAAAAUUCAUAUUUCCUCUUCCGCAACGCGAGCCAAAGCCAUGGAGCUGUACGAGCGCCUGCAGCAAGAGGAAGGUGGCUCUCAAGAGUCGUUCUUGGCGAGUAAGGGCUGGUUCGACAAGUUUAUUAAUCGGCAAAAUUUGCACAGUAUCAAAGUCACCGGUGAAUCUGCAAGUGCAGAUCGUGAAGCUGCUGCUAAGUUUCCGGAGGAGCUGCACGCCAUCACAGCUGCUGGAGGUUACAGUCCAAAGCAAGUGUUUAAUGCGAACGAAACCGGGCUUUUCUGGAAACGCAUGCCAUCUCGGACCUACUUACAUAAAGCAGAUAAGGGUACGCCCGGUUUAAAAUCCUCAAAAGACAGGCUGACUCUCCUGUUAUGCGGCAAUGCUGCGGGAGAUUUCAAGUGCAAGCCACUGCUGGUCAAUCGCUCCCUCAACCCACGUGCAUUGAAAGGGCUGAGCAGAAACAUGUUGCCGGUACACUGGACUGCAAACAAGAUGGCAUGGAUGACGGGACAAAUUAUGGAGGACUGGUUCACUCAACACUUUUUGGUGGAGUCGGAGCGGUAUUGCAGGAAGGAGAAUCUUGCUUUUAAAGUAUUGCUCAUCCUUGACAAUGCGCCGGGUUACCCGAAACACCUGGCAAACAUCAACCCCAAUGUGAGGGUCUUGUUACUUCCCCCCAACACGGCGUCGCUGCUCCAGCCUCUGGAUCAGGGGGGGGUUGUAUCCACGUUUAAGGCCUACUACUUAAGGCGGACCAUCUCCCAACUGCUCGAGGGUACUGACGGGCCCGACAAGCCGACAGUUCGUGACUGCUGGAAGGCUUACAAUAUUAGGGAUGCAAUAAAUAAUAUUAAAUCAUCAUGGGAUGACGUGAAGCAAUCAACUAUGAAUUGUGCUUGGAAUGCCAUUUGGAAAGAGUGUGUGAUUUACUUAAAUUGCUUCCCCGAAAUGUCAACAGCUGUGCAAGAUGUUGUUGACCUUGGACGGGAGUUAGGAGGGGAAGGCUUCUCUGACAUGCGGGAAGACGACGUCUUGGAGCUCCUCGAUUCCUACAAUGAGGAAUUGACUGUUGAUGACUUAAUGUCAAUUGCAGCGGCUGAUGAAGCAGAGGAGCAAGAGGUGGUCCUCAAUGUCAAGGACAUGACUUCAAAGAAGUUGACAUACUUUUUAUCUCAGGCUGAUGCUCUUGCUCAAACUGCCAUGGAUAUGGAUCCUAGCCUAGAGAGGAGCCUACAGUUCAAACGUGCUUUGAACUCGAUAAUUGCUCCAUACAAGGAGGUGCAUGCACAGAAACAGCGAGCGAAGCAGUGCACCAUGUUUCAGUUCUUAAGGCUCCGCUUUGCCACCCCUUCCACCUCUACCAUCGAUCCUGCUGGCCCUUCCACUUCUACCAUCGAUCCUGCACCAACCUGCAGCACCUCCACCGCCUCUCAAUUGCUGCUGGCUGGUGAUGACGGCCUCAUUCAUGUGAAUUCUCCGCUGGAUAUCACCCUGCCUGUGGAUGUCGAGUCUGACCCAGACGACCCUCGCACCAUCUAGACUACCAACCACGCCCACCACCACUUGUGCUUGCAUAUUUCCUUCUGUUGGCUGCUGCCCGGGGUUUCUUGCUGCGGGCGCGCCUGCGUGCACUACGAGGGGACUAUGAGCGCGUGGUGAGCGAGGUGCAAGGCGGCCUGGCUGGGCUCAGCUGGGUCGAGGGCCUUGUGGCCCGGCCCCAGUUCUGUAGUGGAGACGCAGAUCCAGCAGCGCCACACGCGCCUGGGGAUGCCCCGGAGCGUGAUGCCACCCGGCUCCCGAGAGGUUACAAAGGGGAGCAUGCAGACCCGGAGCUUGGGGAGGGAGCCCAGGGGACGGCGCCCCAAGCCCAAGGAAGCCCCCUGCUCACGCAAAGGGGCCCCGAGGAGGCUGCGGGCACGAGGGAUCCAGCAGGUGCUGCCCCUGGGUUGGAGGGGCUCCCUCUUCUCCAGAAACCUCCACCAGUGGAGGUCAACAUGUUGGAGGAGCCCCCCUCGCUGGAGGAGCCCACUUCCUUGGAGAAUUUGCAAGAACUUCGAUCCAGCUUGGCCAUGGAGCUACUAUGGUUGCAGCAAGCAAUUGCCAGCCGCAAGAACUACCUGACCUUGCGGGGUCACGUGGCACGGCCCAGGUGAUUCGUGGAUCCUCUUGCAGAAGUCACCCUUCACACCACCACGCCUCGUCCUCUACAGUGGAACUUGUCGUGUUGGAUGUGGUGGGAGGUAGUGCAGCAAAAUUACAACCGUGGUGAAGUAUGGUUGAAUAACCCUCAUGACCAACAGGGCACAAGAAGGGUUAUCUAGGUUGAAUAAAGGACUACAUUAUUUUUUGUCCAUUUCUUGUACAUGUUUACAUGCAACACUUGUUUGAGCUCUCUUGGAUAAAAUAAAACGUGAGCUUUGUAAUA
Petromyzon marinus (sea lamprey) is the source of this 3533-nucleotide non-coding RNA. Lineage: Eukaryota; Metazoa; Chordata; Hyperoartia; Petromyzontiformes; Petromyzontidae. The record is from RefSeq and is a predicted model, not a curated record.